AUUUAUAUAGUAUAAAAAUUAUUUUUAACUUCCAAUUAAAAGAUCUAUAAAUAGUAUAAAUA
Molecule: transfer RNA, 62 nt
Filed under: Pyrocoelia rufa
Lineage: Eukaryota; Metazoa; Arthropoda; Insecta; Coleoptera; Lampyridae
Description: tRNA-Gly
Source: RNAcentral